GUGUGACACGUGCAUGCACCUCUAUAAAUGCCGUACCGGUGCUCAUCACUCGCUGAACCAGCAGAACAAAGCACACAACAAGUUACAUCGACUUCUUCAUCAUCAUCAACUCAGACGACCCUCGUGAAAGAAGAAGAAGAUGAGCUCCUCCGCGGAAGCAGCUGAGUGCGGCGGCGGCAAGACGUCGUGGCCGGAGGUGGUGGGGAUGAGCAUAGAGGAGGCCAAGAAGGUGAUCCUCAAAGACAAGCCCGACGCAGACAUCCACGUGCUGCCGGUCGGCACGCCGGUGACCAAGGAUUUCCGCCCCAACCGUGUCCGCAUCUUCGUCGACACCGUCGCCGAGACGCCCCAUGUGGGCUAGCUCUGCUCAUAGCUUUCUUGCUCAAAGCAUCAUGCGUGCCAAAUAAAGCCAUCUUCUAUAUGAA
Panicum hallii is the source of this 425-nucleotide long non-coding RNA. RefSeq lists it as uncharacterized. Lineage: Eukaryota; Viridiplantae; Streptophyta; Magnoliopsida; Poales; Poaceae. The transcript has 3 exons. The record is from RefSeq and is a predicted model, not a curated record.